Molecule: ribosomal RNA, 460 nt
Filed under: uncultured bacterium
Lineage: Bacteria
Description: partial 16S ribosomal RNA
Rfam family: Bacterial small subunit ribosomal RNA
Source: RNAcentral
CCUACGGGAGGCAGCAGUGAGGCAUAUUGGUCAAUGGACGCAAGCCUGAACCAGCCACGCCGCGUGAAGGAAGACGGCUCUAUGAAUUGUAAACUUCUUUUGUAAGAGGGUAAACGCAGACACGCGUAUCUAUCUGAAACUAUCGUACGAAUAAGGAACGGCUAGCUCCGUGCCAGCCGCCGCGGUAAUACGGAGGAUUCAAGCGUUGUACGGAUUUAUUGGGUUUAAAGGGUGCGUAGCUGGUAGGUUAAGUUAGAGGUGAAAGCCUGAGGCUCAACUAGUGAAUUGCCUCUGAUACUGUUCGGCUAGAGUGUAGUUGAGGUAGGCGGAAUGCAUGGUGUAGCGGUGAAAUGCUUAGAGAUCAUGAAGAACACCGAUUGCGAAGGCAGCUUACCAAGCUGCUACUGACGUUGAGGCACGAAAGCGUGGGGAGCAAACAGGAUUAGAUACCCUUGUAGUC